RNA transcript from Heteronotia binoei (common prickly gecko), 2249 nucleotides. It is a transcript of the gene named proline rich 16, with no coding region annotated. The transcript is spliced from 3 exons. Lineage: Eukaryota; Metazoa; Chordata; Lepidosauria; Squamata; Gekkonidae. The record is from RefSeq and is a predicted model, not a curated record.
UCUCUCUGUGAGGGAGGGAGGAAAAGCAGGCAGGCGCAGGCGCAACGCCCGCCUGUCUGAUCGCCUGCCUGCAGCCCGAGCUUUCUCAGUGCAGUUGCCCGGGAGUUGAUGGCAGCGCUGGAGCGCGCCCAGGGCAGCGCGCCACGGGGACCCGAACACAAAAUGUGCCGCCGGGAGGGAAGCAGCGGCCGCAGCAGCUCUGGGGGGUCGAAGCGGGACGGGGACGGGCGUCCUUCGGGAGCCAGUCAGCUCUCCUGACCUGUCUGCGUCCUCUUCCCCACCCUGCGCCCCCACCAAAGAAUGUCAGCCAAGUCCAAGGGAACCACCUCCUCCUCCGCCACCUCCUCCUUGGUGUCCUCUCCUGCCGAAGGGCUGCCUGCCGCCUCCAAAGCCAAGGUGAAGGAGCAAAUCAAGAUCAUCGUGGACGAUCUGGAAUUAGUCCUGGGGGACCUGAAGGACGUGGCCAAAGAACUGAAGGAGGUGGUUGACCAGAUUGAUACACUCACUUCUGACUUACAGCUGGAGGAUGAGAUGACUGACAGUUCUAAAACUGACACAUUGAACAGCAGCUCAAGUAGCACAACGGCAUCAAGUUUGGAAAAAGUCAAGGCGCGAACCAAUGUACCACUCAUCAAGCCACCAUCUGCCAUUCUCACAGUAUUAAGGAAGCCUAAUCCACCACCACCUCCUCCACGGUUGACUCCUGUGAAGUGUGAAGAUCCUCAAAAGCCAGUUAUCCCUGCCAACCCUGUAAAAACUAAUGGGACUCUACUGCGAAAUGGAGGUUUACCAGGAGGGUCAAAUAAAAUCGCAAAUGGAGAUAUAUGUUGUAUACCUAAUAAUAAUUUGGACAAAGUUCCAAUGCAACCUCUGAUGCAUAGACCUGAAAAAGACAGGUGUCCUCAGCCUGGAACAAGGGAACGGGUACGAUUUAAUGAAAAGGUGCAGUACCAUGGCUAUUGUGCUGACUGUGAUGUUCGGUAUAAUAUUAAAAAUAGGGAGAUUCACUUGCACAGUGAAUCUGUUCAUACACUGGGAAAGCUUCCUCACCAGUGUCCUCCUUUACCACCGCCACCUCCCCCACUUCCUCCUUUUUCACUUGAAAAUGGGGGAAUGGGAAUAAGCCCCAGUAGUAGCUUUCCCCCUCUCAGACCUGCAACUGUGCCUCCACAAACUGAAUCAAAACCCCAGAAGACCAUCUUGAGGAAAUCAACCACUACAACAGUGUGAUGUAUCCCACCUGGAAAACUUUGUUUUUCUUAUGUAUAAACAUAAAAAAGCUCCUUUAGGCUGGAAGGAAUGUCAACAUUUGGAGGCAUAUUGGCCAGUUUCUCCCAUGACAGAUUCAAUGUUACAAUUUCUUACAGGCCAGAUUUGAUUAUAAUAACUUGGACCUAUUUAGAGCAUGGAAACCCUUGAGCCAGAGCAGAAUGGAUUACCGGUGUAAUUUGCAUUAAACCACUGGCUUCAUAUCCAAAAGCUAUGAGUUAAGACCUGAUAAAAGCCACAGCCUUAAGUACAUUCUGACAGAAAGAAGAUGGAGGAGUUCAUACCUUUUCUGCCACAAAAACAGUUAUCUCUCUAAGCCUGUUACUAAAGGAGUUCAAUUCUAACAAAUCAAGAACAGCAAACAGUAAUCCUGUGGUCCAGCCAGAGUUCCAAAAGUAUUCAAAUAUAUGUAGCUAAAUGAAAGUAUGAAUUAUGAAGCACUUAAACAACUGCAGAAAAAUAAAUGCAUUUGCUCUCAACAAAAGAUUAUCAUCUUGGGUGGAAAGAGAAGAACUUUGAUAUUCCUUGUGCAAAUUCAAAGCCAUAGGAGAGGACCAAUGACGCUGACAUGCUUGAAAGUUUAUUAUACCUUGUCAUCCACCCAAAUGAUUCAUCCGUUACAGAUUGCAUCUCAAUGCACUUCUAAUGUUUGCACUGUAACUUCCAUUCAGGGAAAAUGAUGUAGGUCAUCAUUUGCACAGAUGACCACAUGGAAUUUUAGUCCAUAGCAAGCAGUUCUUGGGCUACUAGAGAAAAUCAAACAAAUCUUCAAAGUGAAGAACAUUUAAUGCCCAUCUCUCCCUCCACAGCUGGAAAGUUUUUCACAAGGCAAAUUGUCCUUCCUUAAGAUUAAGAUGUUUGAAAAGCAUCAGCAAGCAGACAUUAAAAUGGAUCUAGUUUUUAAAACAUUUUUAUAUCAUUGUAAUGACCAAGAAAUUGACAUAUCUCUUACAUGUUGCUAAUGAACAUAGACAGUGUAU